This 433-nucleotide ribosomal RNA is filed under the name uncultured bacterium. RNAcentral describes it as "partial 16S ribosomal RNA". It matches the Rfam family "Bacterial small subunit ribosomal RNA", at positions 29 to 507 of the family's 1533-position model. The record is from RNAcentral.
AACGAACGCUGGCGGCAUGCCUAACACAUGCAAGUCGAACGAGACCUUCGGGUCUAGUGGCGCACGGGUGCGUAACGCGUGGGAACCUGCCCUUAGGUUCGGAAUAACUCCCCGAAAGGGGUGCUAAUACCGGAUAAUGUCUUCGGACCAAAGAUUUAUCGCCUUUGGAUGGGCCCGCGUUGGAUUAGCUAGUUGGUAGGGUAAAAGCCUACCAAGGCGACGAUCCAUAGCUGGUCUGAGUGGAUGAUCAGCCACACUGGGACUGAGACACGGCCCAGACUCCUACGGGAGGCAGCAGUGGGGAAUAUUGGACAAUGGGCGAAAGCCUGAUCCAGCAAUGCCGCGUGAGUGAUGAAGGCCUUAGGGUUGUAAAGCUCUUUUACCCGGGAUGAUAAUGACAGUACCGGGAGAAUAAGCUCCGGCUAACUCCGUG